GCGGAUGUGGCGGAAUUGGCAGACGCGCAGGCUUCAGGUGCCUGUGGGGGCAACCCCGUGGAGGUUCGACUCCUCUCAUCCGCA
This 84-nucleotide transfer RNA is filed under the name Phycisphaerae bacterium. Its description in RNAcentral is "tRNA-Leu". It matches the Rfam family "tRNA". Rfam says of the family: Transfer RNA (tRNA) molecules are approximately 80 nucleotides in length. RNAcentral also lists the same sequence under 5 other names. The record is from RNAcentral. Lineage: Bacteria; Pseudomonadati; Planctomycetota; Phycisphaerae.